GUAGGGAAUAUUGGGCAAUGGAGGCAACUCUGACCCAGCCAUGCCGCGUGCAGGAUGACGGCCCUCUGGGUUGUAAACUGCUUUUAUACGGGAAGAAAAAAUACUACGUGUAGUAUACUGACGGUACCGUAAGAAUAAGGAUCGGCUAACUCCGUGCCAGCAGCCGCGGUAAUACGGAGGAUCCAAGCGUUGUCCGGAUUUAUUGGGUUUAAAGGGUGCGUAGGCGGAUCUUUAAGUCAGUGGUGAAAGCCUGCAGCUUAACUGUAGAAUUGCCAUUGAAACUGAAGAUCUUGAAUGUGGUUAAAGUAGGCGGAAUGUAUCAUGUAGCGGUGAAAUGCUUAGAUAUGAUACAGAACACCGAUAGCGAAGGCAGCUUGCUGAACCAUUAUUGACGCUGAGGCACGAAAGCGUGGGGAGCGAACAGGAUUAGAAACCCCAGUAGUCC
Molecule: ribosomal RNA, 445 nt
Filed under: uncultured bacterium
Lineage: Bacteria
Description: bacterial SSU rRNA
Rfam family: Bacterial small subunit ribosomal RNA
Source: RNAcentral